GUGCAGCAGUCGCGAAAACUCCACAAUGUGGGAAACCACGAUGGGGGAACUCCCAGUGCGCACACUUUGUGUGCGCUGUUCUCCUGCCUAAAAAGCAGGAGAAGUAAGGGCCGGGUAAGACGGGUGCCAGCCGCCGCGGUAAUACCCGCGGCCCGAGUGGUGCUCAUUAUUAUUGAGCCUAAAGCGUCCGCAGCCGGUUUGGUAGAUGCCUGGGUAAAUCGAAUCGCUUAACGAUCCGAAUUCCGGGUAGACCGCCAAACUUGGGACCGGGAGAGGUUGGAGGUAAUUCUGGGGUAGAGGUAAAAUCCUGUAAGCCUAGGAGGACCACCAGUGGCGAAAGCGUCCAACUAGAACGGAUCCGACGGUAAGGGACGAAGCCCUGGGGCGCAAACGGGAUUAGAUACCCCGGUAGUCC
Molecule: ribosomal RNA, 415 nt
Filed under: uncultured Thermoplasmata archaeon
Lineage: Archaea; Methanobacteriati; Thermoplasmatota; Thermoplasmata
Description: partial 16S ribosomal RNA
Rfam family: Archaeal small subunit ribosomal RNA
Source: RNAcentral